CAUUGAGCGACCCCCACGCCUCGUGUCUCCGUUGCCUGGGGGAAGCUCAUCAGAAAGAGCGCUGCAAGAUCUGCAAGGCCUUUAAGCCCAGAACUAAAAAAGAGAGGGACUUUCGCCUUAAGCAGCUGCUCAUGGAGACGGCGUUACAGCCCUCCACUUCGACGGCACUGUCUGCCUCCGUGCGGAGCACCCCGGCAUCGGUGCGGGAACCGGCACCGGCGGGUCACCCGAAGCCCGCGGCACCGACCCAGCGGGGAAAUGCACGACGCCGAUCGUCUUCGCCGGCGAAAGCGAAGGGCCAGUCUAAGGCCCGAGGACGCUCCCCGCACAAGAGGCCGGCACCGGUAAAGACCUCGAGUGCCCCUAAGGCCGAUAUGGCCCCAACACGGACCCCGGUAGUGGCUCCGGCGCCAAAAGGCCCUUCGAGCCCCGGGAUGGGCGCGUCGAGUGAGGAUGAAGGGCUAGAGGAGCUCGUGGAACAGUCCUCCACUCCGGACACGUUUGAGGCAGCUAAGGACCUCAUCGCGUUGUCCGUUGAGGCCCCGACACGCGCUGAGGGCGCUCCGCCGAUGCUGCCGCGUAGAGGCAAGCCGGCGAUGUUGCGCCCAUCACAGUCGCCGUCUCGGCACCGCUCCAGGAACCGGUCCCGGUCGAGCUCCGCCUCGGUGGACUCCCGGUUGCCCUCGGCGCAGGAAGCACCGCAGCAGUCGGGCUUCAUCAAGCGGUCGGCACCGACUCAGCAACCAAGCACAAGUCGGCACCGCGAAGCGUCGGCGGUUCGUUACCCAAGGCCGACCAGUCGUAGCCGUUCCCGGACCCGCAACCACCGGUACCGUUCCAGGUCCAGGUCGGCGAGGCGCUAUUCCAGGUCCUGGUCGCGGAGGCGCUACUCCCCAAAACCGGACCGGCACCAUCCUACGGCUCCACCGUGGCCUUCCAGGUCACCGUCCGUGGUCUCGGGGACUGACUCAGACCGAUACGGCGGGUAUGCCCAUAGGUCACGGGGCAGCAGAGACUACGGUCAGUCCCAAUGGGGCCAACC
Molecule: long non-coding RNA, 1042 nt
Filed under: Chrysemys picta bellii (western painted turtle)
Lineage: Eukaryota; Metazoa; Chordata; Testudines; Emydidae
Description: lncRNA (ENSCPBG00000016469.1)
Source: RNAcentral